UAGUGUUACAGCUUUUUUAGAAUUUGUCUGGCAAGCUUUCCAGAUUUUGCUGGCAAGACCAA
Callithrix jacchus (white-tufted-ear marmoset) is the source of this 62-nucleotide small nuclear RNA. Its record names the gene U7. It matches the Rfam family "U7 small nuclear RNA". Rfam says of the family: Animal histone pre-mRNAs are spliced by a different mechanism than nuclear pre-mRNAs and self-splicing introns. This processing involves the U7 snRNP, which contains only one RNA species: U7. Lineage: Eukaryota; Metazoa; Chordata; Mammalia; Primates; Cebidae. The record is from Ensembl.